This 702-nucleotide ribosomal RNA is filed under the name Zoanthus sansibaricus. RNAcentral's name for it is "partial 16S ribosomal RNA". It matches the Rfam family "Bacterial large subunit ribosomal RNA", at positions 1713 to 2462 of the family's 2925-position model. The record is from RNAcentral. Lineage: Eukaryota; Metazoa; Cnidaria; Anthozoa; Zoantharia; Zoanthidae.
CUCGGCAAAAUCCCAAUGGCCCACCAGGGCAUAUUGGAACACGGGCCUCGACUGUUUACCAAAAACAUAGCCCUCGGCUAAUAUGAAAAUAGAUGUAUAGAGGGUGAUGCCUGCCCAAUGGUUGUAUCUAAAAGCGGUUGAUAAAAGUUGACCUCGUAAGGACAAUUGAAUGGCCGCGGUAACACUGACCGUGAUAAUGUAGCGGAAUCAAUAGCCAAUUAAUUGUUGGCCAGUAUGAAUGGCGCCACGAAGGCCCCACUGUCUUAAGGAAAUUCCCAGUGAAAUUGAAUUCGUAGUGAAGAUGCUACGUCCAAUUUGUUAGACGAAAAGACCCCGUUGAGCUUUACUGGAGCACUUACAUGGCCCCGGCCUUCCCAUGCCUGGGAACCCGCCGAAUUUAAAUGGGCGGCUUAGAUUAUGUGGCAGCCCCCCGCUGGGGCAAAUGAAACACCACUCCCCCAUGUCAAAGGGGCUAACCCCCCCCCCUUGGGGGGACAGUGUAAGUAGGACAGUUUGGUUGGGGCGACCACCUUUUAAAAAGUAACGAAGGUGCGCUUAAGGUGCGCAAUUAAUGACUGAAGCCUGACUGCGAGGGGGACACCCCGAGCAGACACCCCAAAGCCCGCCCGAAAGGCGGCGGUGGGGUGGGCCAUAGUGACCCGUUAAUUUAGAGUGGAAUAGUUAACGAUCAACGAAUAAAAG